Molecule: unclassified non-coding RNA, 2285 nt
Filed under: Leishmania donovani
Lineage: Eukaryota; Euglenozoa; Kinetoplastea; Trypanosomatida; Trypanosomatidae
Description: gene:LdHU3.17.1440(CDS-product:Acyltransferase_pu tative)
Source: RNAcentral
UAUGCGCCCCGGUAAGUCUUCUUCUCCCCCUAUUUUUCAGCCAGCGCCGCACUGCUACACCUCUGUCACACACGUGCUUCUCGCUCUGUUCCAGACCCCCAUACCCUCACCCCCCUAGGUCUACCGACUGUUGUUGCUGCUGCUGCUGUGGUGAUAGCCCUCGCUGUGGCGGCUACGCGUGGAAGAGGUCUUUGCCUUGCUCAGCGCGCUGCUUUGCGAGGUGCCUCUUACGGGCCUUUGCGUGCGCGUCUUUCGCUCUCUCUUUCUCAGCACGUGUGCGCGUAGGCAAGGCUACGCGAUCGAACUGAGACGGGGAGAAAGAGAGGGAGGGGGAGGACGUCCACCACGCGGCACCUCAGGGAGAACGCGAGGCGGGGGGGGUGAGAGAGGGCGCGAGAACGAACAGAAGGCGUGGAAGGAAGCCGACGCCUGCCGCUGCGUAGCGGUCGUUCGUGUGCGAGUCGCAUUCGCGAGAAAGAGUGACAUCUGCGCGCAGUGAGGGAGUGGCCAAGGGUAGUCGGAGGGCAAGAAAACGUUGGAGGCGCAAGAGGGCAAGCUGAGGCGAAGCAAUGAAGUUGACACUACGCGGCGGCAUUGCCCUGGCGGGCGCCAUGCUCUUAGCGAUCGCCGGCUUCUCCUUGUUUGAGACGUGUGUGAUAUUGGUCUUGUACCUGGCGAAGUAUGUCUUUGGCGAUGGUGCGCUGAUGCCGUUGUACCGCCUCAGCAACAUGCACCACGACUUCAUGCAGCGUACGUACCUGUGCUGGGUGGGUGGCUUGGUGGAGAACGUGCUGGGCACCAGCAUCGCCUACACAGUCGUUGAUGGCGAUGGCCAGGAGCACCUGGAGCAGCACUACAUGACGUCUGUGCGGAAUGAGGAGGGCGCAGUGGAGCGGUACCUCGACUUGGACAAGGUUCUUCGGCCGCCGUCGCAGCCCGGCAAGGCCAAGAUCAUCAUCAUGAACCACCACUGCCGCGUCGAUUGGAUCUACACGUUCAUGUACUUUGCCCGCACCCGCGGCAUUAUCAGCCACAUCCGCUACGUCCUGAAGGAGGAUUUGAAGCACCUCCCGGUGCUGGGCUGGUCGAUGGAGCUCUUUCGCUACCUCUUCCUGUCUCGCCACUGGGAGGCCGACAAGAUGUACAUGAGGCGUAUGGUCGACUUCUACAAGGCCACCGGUGACACCCCGGUCAUUCUCAUCUACCCGGAAGGCACCGACCUCUCGCCCAGCAACAUCCAGCGGUCACAGGAGUACGCCGCCAAGGUGGGGCUGCCGAAGUUCCGCCAUGUUCUGAAUCCGCGGACCACCGGCAUCGUGGCGCUCAUGGACAUGCUGGGCGGUGCCGACAGGGUGGAGGAGGUUGUGCACCUUACUAUCGCCUACACGUACCACGCCCCAGGGGAGCGCCCGAACGAGCUGUCGCUCGCCAACGGCCACCACCCGAAGAAGGUGCACAUGCUGAUCCAAAGCUACCGUGUCGCAGGAACGGCGGCCGCGGCAGCGCAGAAGAACCCGAAACACGUUUGCCCUACUGAGGAGGCCGCCCUCACCGCGUGGAUCCAUGAGUGUUUCGCGGAGAAGGAGCUGUUGCUGUCGCGGUUCCUCAUGACGAACCCAAUCGGCUUCGACGCCGCCGAUGUGCGGGCGGUGCUCGGCGAAGGCGUCGGCAUAGCCAGCUACGACGACGACGAGGAGCGCCUGCGCCACCCCAACCGACCGUGGUGGAGACGGUACUACCAGCAGGUCGGCUUUUUCGGCGCCGUCAUCGCGCCUGUGUACUGGAUCGCCUCGCCGAUCUACUAUGUCUUCUUCACGCGCUGGUGGCUGUCGACGUUGUGGGUGUUAGCCGUGCUUGUGGUCUUCAUGAAGGGCGUCAAGGCGAUCGGCGGGAUUCAGCAGUCGCUCUACCUGAAGGUGGUGACGCCGGAGGCCACGCUGAUGCAGCGGCUGCGUCGCAUGCUGAAAGGCCGACAGAUGAGGAAGGACAAGAAGAGCGACUGAGUGCAAGCUCCUCCUUCCCGGCUUCCCCAGCGCUCCUCCCUUAUCGCAGAGCGUGUCGGCAAGUCGCAGAGGUCUGUUGCCGUUGCUGCCACUCGUGCACAUGAUGCACCGCUCUCAUUUUUCUCGUGUCUUUUUCAUCUGUAUCACGUUGGGUGGGGUGCGACUGUGCUUGCCCAUCGCCCUCUUUGUCACCUCUCCUUCGGUGAGGUCGUUGUUUUGUGUGCUCAUCUGCCUCCCCGUGUGCCGAUUUCUCGCUGUGCGCAACGCGCAAUUCUGAACAAC